RNAcentral lists this ribosomal RNA (490 nucleotides) under uncultured bacterium. RNAcentral's name for it is "partial 16S ribosomal RNA". It matches the Rfam family "Bacterial small subunit ribosomal RNA", at positions 29 to 507 of the family's 1533-position model. The record is from RNAcentral.
AGUGAACGCUGGCGGCAGGCCUAACACAUGCAAGUCGAACGGCAGCACAAGAGAGCUUGCUCUCUGGGUGGCGAGUGGCGGACGGGUGAGGAAUGCAUCGGAAUCUGCCCAUUUGUGGGGGAUAACCUCGGGAAACCGGGACUAAUACCGCAUACGACCUACGGGUGAAAGCAGGGGAUCUUCGGAUCUUGCGCAGAUGGAUGAGCCGAUGCCGGAUUAGCUAGUUGGAGGGGUAAAGGCCCACCAAGGCGACGAUCCGUAGCUGGUCUGAGAGGAUGAUCAGCCACACUGGGACUGAGACACGGCCCAGACUCCUACGGGAGGCAGCAGUGGGGAAUAUUGGACAAUGGGCGCAAGCCUGAUCCAGCCAUGCCGCGUGUGUGAAGAAGGCCUUCGGGUUGUAAAGCACUUUUGUUGGGAAAGAAAAGCAGCCGGUUAAUACCCGGUUGUCAUGACGGUACCCAAAGAAUAAGCACCGGCUAACUUCGUG